UAGAUGAGGCUGGGCCUAGUCAUGUCAGGGAUGGUGGUGUAGAUGAGGCUGGGCCUAGUCAUGUCAGGGAUGGUGGUGUAGAUGAGGCUGGGCCUAGUCAUGUCAGGGAUGGUGGUGUAGAUGAGGCUGGGCCUAGUCAUGUCAGGGAUGGUGGUGUAGAUGAGGCUGGGCCUAGUCAGGUUAUAUAUGGUGUUGUGGAUUAGGCUGGAUCUAGUAAUGUCAGAGAUGGUGGUGUAGAUGAGGCUGGGUCUAGUCAUGCUAUGGAUGGUGGUGUAGAUGAGGCUGGAUCUAGUAAUGUCAGAGAUGGUGGUGUAGAUGAGGCUGGGUCUAGUCAUGCUAUGGAUGGUGGUGUAGAUGAGGCUGGGUCUAGUCAGGUUAUAGAUGGUGGUGUAGAUGAGGCUGGGUCUAGUCAGGUUAUAUAUGGUGGUGUAGAUGAGGCUGGGCCUAGUCAGGUUAUAUAUGGUGGUGUAGAUGAGGCUGGGCCUAGUCAGGUUAUAUAUGGUGGUGUGGAUGAGGCUGGGUCUAGUCAUGUCAGAGAUGGUGGUGUAGAUGAGGCUGGGUCUAGUCAUGUCAGAGAUGGUGGUGUAGAUGAGGCUGGGUCUAGUCAGGUUAUAGAUGGUGGUGUAGAUGAGGCUGGGUCUAGUCAGGUUAUAGAUGGUGGUGUAGAUGAGGCUGGGUUGGGGCCCAGAGAGGAAGGGCAGGAUGGGAGAUGGAGAUGAGGAGGAAAGUGCAUCUGAGGAAGAGGAUGAUGAUUUUUCUUUCAGACUCCUCUUCAGUGGGUCCAGAGCUGACAGCCAGUCAAGCAGAGGGGUCAAAGUGCACGUUGAGAGAACUGACAAGGUUCCUGAAUGAGACCAAGGGGAAAAAGUUAAUCUUGAGGAAUUUUUUUCUGAUCCUAGAAAGUUUGUAAGAUCAGUACAACAUGCUAUGAAAAAUGAGGGGCAUGGUGUCCUCUCACCCAGGAAAUUAUUUAGGUUGAGGAAGUGGG
Molecule: long non-coding RNA, 988 nt
Organism: Oncorhynchus tshawytscha (Chinook salmon)
Lineage: Eukaryota; Metazoa; Chordata; Actinopteri; Salmoniformes; Salmonidae
Source: Ensembl